RNAcentral lists this long non-coding RNA (434 nucleotides) under Panax ginseng (ginseng). RNAcentral describes it as "long non-coding RNA (PGIN_LNC004609)". The record is from RNAcentral. Lineage: Eukaryota; Viridiplantae; Streptophyta; Magnoliopsida; Apiales; Araliaceae.
GCUAUCUGGAUAGCUUCAGGCAGACCAUCACGGGUGGCCACAUACACAUCCAACCAAUGGAUAGGCUGACCUUGAGACUAAGACUCCUAUACAAAAAUAGCAUAAUAUUACUAAGUAAAAAUGUGAUAUAUUUUCUAUAAUUCAUGAUUGUAAACAUAUUAAAACUUGUAAAUACGUACCCUGGCAGUGAUAUGCUGCAACUGUGAAAUACUACCGCCCUUGUAUGUCCCUUUAGCCUUUUUGCCAUCGAGUACACCCGAGGAUCUGUUGGUGGCGGCAGUCUUUUGUCUUUUCACCCAGCUCUCAGCUCUCUAUUGGGCACACAUCUCAGCCCAUAUGGCCUAGAUGCACCACCAGGGACUAUGCUCGUGCAUGUAAUCUUCUCCUUGGCCUGGAUGGUCGAUCUCGGCAUUGUGAAGGGCUUUUUGUCUUUC